RNAcentral lists this ribosomal RNA (440 nucleotides) under uncultured bacterium. RNAcentral's name for it is "partial 16S ribosomal RNA". It matches the Rfam family "Bacterial small subunit ribosomal RNA", at positions 338 to 795 of the family's 1533-position model. The record is from RNAcentral.
CCUACGGGAGGCAGCAGUGGGGAAUAUUGCACAAUGGGGGGAACCCUGAUGCAGCAACGCCGCGUGGGUGAAGAAGUACUCCGGUAUGUAAAGCCCUGUCAGCAGGGAAGAAAAUGACGGUACCUGACCAAGAAGCCCCGGCUAACUACGUGCCAGCAGCCGCGGUAAUACGUAGGGGGCAAGCGUUAUCCGGAUUUACUGGGUGUAAAGGGAGCGUAGACGGCAAGGCAAGUCUGGAGUGAAAGCCCGGGGCCCAACCACGGGACUGCUUUGGAAACUGUGUUGCUGGAGUGCAGGAGGGGUAAGCGGAAUUCCUAGUGUAGCGGUGAAAUGCGUAGAUAUUAGGAGGAACACCAGUGGCGAAGGCGGCUUACUGGACUGUAACUGACGUUGAGGCUCGAAGGCGUGGGGAGCAAACAGGAUUAGAUACCCCUGUAGUC